This 324-nucleotide ribosomal RNA is filed under the name uncultured bacterium. RNAcentral's name for it is "bacterial SSU rRNA". It matches the Rfam family "Bacterial small subunit ribosomal RNA", at positions 28 to 334 of the family's 1533-position model. The record is from RNAcentral.
GAUGAACGCUGGCGGCGUGCUUAACACAUGCAAGUCGAACGAAGCACUUAUGAUUGAGAUUUCGGUUGAUUUUAUAAGUGACUUAGUGGCGGACGGGUGAGUAACGCGUGGGUAACCUGCCUCGUACAGGGGGAUAACAGUUAGAAAUGACUGCUAAUACCGCAUAACCCGCUAAGGUCGCAUGACCUGGACGGAAAAGAUUUAUCGGUGAUGGAUGGGGAUGCGUCUGAUUAGCUUGUUGGCGGGGUAACGGCCCACCAAGGCGACGAUCAGUAGGGGUUCUGAGAGGAAGGUCCCCCACAUUGGAACUGAGACACGGUCCAA